Molecule: long non-coding RNA, 1641 nt
Organism: Micropterus dolomieu (smallmouth bass)
Lineage: Eukaryota; Metazoa; Chordata; Actinopteri; Centrarchiformes; Centrarchidae
Exons: 3
Source: RefSeq, a predicted model, not a curated record
GGAGAGACGAAGCACACCUGUGUCUGUUUCAACUGGCAGGAACAGAUUUCUUCCCCAUUUUUGUAUAAUGUCCCACUCCUUUCGCUUCUAUUGUGCAUGUUAGUGAAUUGUCAAAAGCGCUGGUGAGAUCACAGAAGUAACAGGCACCCAAGAGCUCAGAGUUGCUGAUGUUGUUGCAGUUCCCACUGGUCACCAGGAGAGAUCUGAUGCCUCUGUGGCUGAAAGCAGCAAGUCAUCACAGGAAGAUGGAUGAAACCUGGAGGAAGAAAUAUGAAGUGAUUAGCUCGUCACUUUAUUCCCCUUCAAGUGGUUCAGAGAACCUGCCAAUGACUCCCAUAAUGCUGUCUGCUCUCCUGAGAAGUUUUUAGCAUGCAAUUUCACACAUCCUCCUCAGCAAACCCUUCCUCCACAUCAUAGGACAAUUGUGACAACAAGAUGAUUUGAAACUUUCAGUAGAGUGUGUGUUGGUUGAUAGUUAGGGGUUAAUGGGUGAAAGGUCUGGUUGUUUCCAGACAUGAGUGUUAGCGUCCAGUCUCAGCCGGAUCUGCAGCAAAGCAGAUCCAUGCAGAGAGGCCUUGACUAAGGGGAUUUGAAGGAGAGGCACUGCACGGAAAUCUUAUCCCCCUGAUUUUAAACUGGAUGCUUAAUUGGCCAGUCGGUCGUUUCAAACAAGCAUUUGUGGAUUCAACCUUUUGUUACAGUUGGUGGGAAUGUGCACUUUUGCUUUACAAAGUAACAACAUUUUAUCAUAUUAACUGACUGUAAUGAAGAUAUAGUCAGCCGAAACACUCUGGUUGGAUAGAUCAUAGCGCUUUCCAGAGGAAACUUUCAGGAAGUGAUGUAUUUUUGAGGCAGAAGAAGAACCAGCAUGAGCAAUGAUAGUGUAACAGUAAUAAAAACUAAUAUUCUUCUUUUCUGUAUGGCCUAUAUCCCACAAUGUUUGAAUGUCACUAUUGCAAUGUUAAAUAACACUUUCCCUGCCCUGAAGUGAAGCAAAAACAUGUUUUUACUAAAACAAGAUUUUCUGCGCAUUAAGAAUCUGUCCACCCCCUAGAAUCCGUGAUUGGAUGGUGAACUGAUAUUCCUGUUUGGAUAGUCAAAUGACACGUUAAUCAGAGCAUCCCCAUUGGUUAUUCAGUAGAAAGUGUCAAAUGUGGCACAAAAGUACUUGUAACUAGGUUUGUUUUCUACCUGUAGAAUCGAUCCGUACCUGUAAACUUUGGGUUUUUCAGAUAUUCAGAUUCAAAAUGUUCCACACAGCUACAAUACAUUUGGGACAGUAUUUAUUCCAUAGUAGUGCUGCCCCCAACUAAAGAUUUGCCUAGUUAACUAGUAGCUGUUAUUUCAAGUCAUUAGUCAAAUAGUCAUCAAACGUUUAUGAUAUUAAUUGAAUUAUUUAAAUAUAUCUUUUGGAGCAUAAGGAAAUAGUUUGACUUCCAGGGCAUCAUGAGUUGCUGUGAUUCUUUUGAUUGCUAUUUGUUCUGUGAUUAUUUACAUACUGUGUGUUGAUUUGUUACUGUAGCCUGGCUAAAGCUACUGCGGUUGUUUGAUAGUCAGAGAGAGCAGGUUUGAGUUGAGGGCAGGAUGUAAGAUUUUACAGUCGUUGUGUGUCUGUAUACCUGUGUUUACACACAAUGUGCU